UACAGAGGGUGCGAGCGUUGUCCGGAAUCACUGGGCGUAAAGGGCGCGUAGGCGGCUUGAUAAGCGUGCGGUGAAAGCCCGGGGCCUCAACCCCGGGUCGGCCGUGCGAACUGCUGGGCUGGAGCACUGUAGAGGCAGGCGGAAUUCCGGGUGUAGCGGUGGAAUGCGUAGAGAUCCGGAAGAACACCGGUGGCGAAGGCGGCCUGCUGGGCAGUGGCUGACACUGAGGCGCGACAGCGUGGGGGAGCAAACGG
RNAcentral lists this ribosomal RNA (254 nucleotides) under uncultured bacterium. Its description in RNAcentral is "partial 16S ribosomal RNA". It matches the Rfam family "Bacterial small subunit ribosomal RNA", at positions 524 to 775 of the family's 1533-position model. The record is from RNAcentral.